This 423-nucleotide ribosomal RNA is filed under the name uncultured Anaerotruncus sp. RNAcentral's name for it is "bacterial SSU rRNA". It matches the Rfam family "Bacterial small subunit ribosomal RNA", at positions 356 to 794 of the family's 1533-position model. Lineage: Bacteria; Bacillati; Bacillota; Clostridia; Eubacteriales; Oscillospiraceae. The record is from RNAcentral.
UGGGGAUAUUGCACAAUGGAGGGAACUCUGAUGCAGCGAUGCCGCGUGAGGGAAGACGGUCUUCGGAUUGUAAACCUCUGUCUUCAGGGACGAACACAAUGACGGUACCUGAGGAGGAAGCUCCGGCUAACUACGUGCCAGCAGCCGCGGUAAUACGUAGGGAGCAAGCGUUGUCCGGAAUUACUGGGUGUAAAGGGAGUGUAGGCGGGUCUCCAAGUCCGUUGUCAAAUCUAUCGGCUCAACCGAUAGCCGCGGCGGAAACUGGAGGUCUUGAGUGAAGUAGAGGCAGGCGGAAUUCCUAGUGUAGCGGUGAAAUGCGUAGAUAUUAGGAGGAACACCAGUGGCGAAGGCGGCCUGCUGGGCUUUAACUGACGCUGAGGCUCGAGAGUGUGGGGAGCAAACAGGAUUAGAUACCCUGGUAGU